GUAUUGGCGUCCGCCAUGGUUUGUGCAGGAUAGGUGGGAGACUGUGAGACCGCCACGCUAGUGGUGGUGGAGUCAUUGUUGAGAUACCACUCUGGCUGUGGCGUGCGCCUGAACCUCGGCCCGUGAUCCGGGUCAGGGACAGUGCCUGGUGGGUAGUUUAACUGGGGCGGUUGCCUCCUAAAAGUAACGGAGGCGCUCAAAGGUUCCCUCAGCCUGGUCGGUAACCAUGGCGGACGCCAAUAC
Molecule: ribosomal RNA, 243 nt
Filed under: uncultured bacterium
Lineage: Bacteria
Description: partial 23S ribosomal RNA
Rfam family: Bacterial large subunit ribosomal RNA
Source: RNAcentral